AACCUGCCCAAGAGAUCGGGAUAACACCUGGAAACAGAUGCUAAUACCGGAUAACAACAGAUGAUGCCUAUCAACUGUUUAAAGAUGGUUCUGCUAUCACUCUUGGAUGGACCUGCGGUGCAUUAGCUAGUUGGUAGGGUAACGGCCUACCAAGGCGAUGAUGCAUAGCCGAGUUGAGAGACUGAUCGGCCACAUUGGGACUGAGACACGGCCCAAACUCCUACGGGAGGCAGCAGGG
Molecule: ribosomal RNA, 238 nt
Filed under: uncultured Lactobacillus sp.
Lineage: Bacteria; Bacillati; Bacillota; Bacilli; Lactobacillales; Lactobacillaceae
Description: partial 16S ribosomal RNA
Rfam family: Bacterial small subunit ribosomal RNA
Source: RNAcentral